GGCUCAGGACGAACGCUGGCGGCGUGCCUAACACGAUGCAAGUCGAGCGAUGAAGUCUCGGAACGGAUUAGCGGCGGACGGGUGAGUAACACGUGGGUAACCUGCCUUGUAGAGGGGGAUAGCCUUCCGAAAGGAAGAUUAAUACCGCAUAACAUCUUUUUAUCGCAUGGUAGAAAGAUCAAAGGAGUAAUCCGCUACAAGAUGGACCCGCGGCGCAUUAGCUAGUUGGUGAGGUAACGGCUCACCAAGGCGACGAUGCGUAGCCGACCUGAGAGGGUGAUCGGCCACAUUGGAACUGAGACACGGUCCAGACUCCUACGGGAGGCAGCAGUGGGGAAUAUUGCGCAAUGGGGGAAACCCUGACGCAGCAACGCCGCGUGAAUGAAGAUGGCCUUAGGGUUGUAAAGUUCUGUUUACGGGGACGAUAAUGACGGUACCCGUGGAGGAAGCCACGGCUAACUACGUGCCAGCCGCAGC
Molecule: ribosomal RNA, 477 nt
Filed under: uncultured bacterium
Lineage: Bacteria
Description: bacterial SSU rRNA
Rfam family: Bacterial small subunit ribosomal RNA
Source: RNAcentral